GGCACUUGGGUUUCUGAAUCCAUAACCAGCACCCUUAAGUCUGAUAGUGGAUUUCUGCAGAAAGCAGCAUGCAGCACGGAAACUCGAUAGUGACCAGCUUCCGAGCGGUAGAAUGAGAAAUCCCAACAGGUACCGGUAGUGUCCUCACCUAGGAUGGCAGAAUACGGUCCCUUAAAAUACAAAUCAAAUACCCCUGGGUUAUUAAGAACUUUCGGGUCCCCAUGCAGUCUCCAGGUCCUGAAC
This 243-nucleotide long non-coding RNA is filed under the name Brassica rapa (field mustard). Its description in RNAcentral is "long non-coding RNA (BRAP_LNC002470)". Lineage: Eukaryota; Viridiplantae; Streptophyta; Magnoliopsida; Brassicales; Brassicaceae. The record is from RNAcentral.